UACGUAGGGGGCAAGCGUUGUCCGGAAUCAUUGGGCGUAAAGCGCGUGUAGGCGGUUAUGUAAGUCUGCUGUGAAAGUCGGAGGCUCAACCUUCGAAUGCCAGUGGAUACUGCAUGACUAGAGUUCGGAAGAGGCAAGUGGAAUUCCUGGUGUAGCGGUGAAAUGCGCAGAUAUCAGGAGGAACACCAACGGCGAAGGCAGCUUGCUGGUACGACACUGACGCUGAGACGCGAAAGCGUGGGGAGCAAACAGG
Molecule: ribosomal RNA, 253 nt
Filed under: uncultured Conexibacter sp.
Lineage: Bacteria; Bacillati; Actinomycetota; Thermoleophilia; Solirubrobacterales; Conexibacteraceae
Description: partial 16S ribosomal RNA
Rfam family: Bacterial small subunit ribosomal RNA
Source: RNAcentral